UACGUAGGGUGCAAGCGUUAUCCGGAAUUAUUGGGCGUAAAGAGCUCGUAGGCGGUUUGUCGCGUCUGCUGUGAAAACUGGAGGCUCAACCUCCAGCCUGCAGUGGGUACGGGCAGACUAGAGUGGCGGUAGGGGAGAUUGGAAUUCCUGGUGUAGCGGUGGAAUGCGCAGAUAUCAGGAGGAACACCGAUGGCGGAAGGCAGAUCUCUGGGCCGUAACUGACGCUGAGGAGCGAAAGCAUGGGAGCGAACAGG
Molecule: ribosomal RNA, 254 nt
Filed under: uncultured bacterium
Lineage: Bacteria
Description: partial 16S ribosomal RNA
Rfam family: Bacterial small subunit ribosomal RNA
Source: RNAcentral